RNAcentral lists this ribosomal RNA (406 nucleotides) under uncultured bacterium. RNAcentral's name for it is "partial 16S ribosomal RNA". It matches the Rfam family "Bacterial small subunit ribosomal RNA", at positions 30 to 526 of the family's 1533-position model. The record is from RNAcentral.
AUUGAACGCUGGCAGCAGGCCUAACACAUGCAAGUCGAACGAGUGGCGGACGGGUGAGUAAUGUCUGGGAACCUGCCUGAUGGAGGGGGAUAAUUACUGGAAACGGUAGCUAAUACCGCAUCCCAUCGGAUGUGCCCAGAUGGGUUUAGCUAGUAGGUGGGGUAAAGGCUCACCUAGGAGACGAUCCCUAGCUGGUAUGAGAGGAUGACCAGCCACACUGGACCUGAGACACGGUCCAGACUCCUACGGGAGGCAGAGGUGGGGAAUAGUGCACAAUGGGCGCAAGCCUGAUGCAGCCAUGCCGCGUGUAUGAAGAAUGCCUUCGGGUUGUAAAGUACUUUCAGCGGGGAGGCGUUACCCGAAGAAGAAGCACCGGCUAACUCCGUGCCAGCAGCCGCGGUAAUUC